Molecule: long non-coding RNA, 1076 nt
Organism: Polyodon spathula (Mississippi paddlefish)
Lineage: Eukaryota; Metazoa; Chordata; Actinopteri; Acipenseriformes; Polyodontidae
Exons: 3
Source: RefSeq, a predicted model, not a curated record
AAGGGCUUGAGCCCAAAAUGGCUUCCCUAUCGACCCAAAAUGUAAACUUCCCAGGAACAAACAACCCAGCACAGUCCCUUCAGCUCUGCUUUUACCCGGUGAAAUGGAUACCCCUUACAAACAACAGGUAGAGGACGGAACCCAUAUCCACAUUCAAUGAAUACAAUAAAGCCUGGAACAAGAGAACAUUGUGCAGGACUGACUUCUUUGGAAUAAAGUUCUAGCACCCACUCUGGAAAUGAGAUGAUGUUACUACUUUAUCUUAGAUAGGAGUGACUAUCAGAAAAACCAAUCAUCAGUGUGUCAUAAUGACAAAUCACAUUUGCAGUUCCCCAUAAAACUUCAGCUUACUGUCCCUGAUCGAAGCCUAGUGGCAAAAUGCUGGUCAUGUUAUCGUACUUGUUCUGUUUUCUAUUCAAUUAGAUUUUAAUAUAUGGGGAAGGGGAGAUGUGACUGCUGAUACAUUACCUUUACAGAAGUUCACUGUAUUAUACCAUGGUAAAAGCAUAAGUAUAAUGUAAAAACAAAGUGAAUGCACCAUAGACAACAGUUAUAAAUUACAGAUAUUGUAGCUGUAGUAAGGCCAGGGAAACUGCAAAAUAACCCUGUAAAUUGCCACUGUACACUUUUACUUGUUGCAUUUUUCCCCCUUUCAUUAACUUUUUACAACGUAUGCCAACAUUCUGAAAUUCUGUUGUUUGCAUACUGAGAUUAGAGCAAUUGAGGGUCUUCAUAAUCAUGUAAUAGUAUUACUAGCUUGAAAAAAAAUCUAAUCUGUUGUAUCUAACAGUUUCUGGGAACACCAAUUUAAAUCACAAUGGAUAGCCAGAGAAGGGAACAUAAUCUGCUAGCUGUAAACUCAUGCACACUUAUUCAAGCUGAUUCUUGGCUUUCAUUGCCCAAUUUAAGAUUUGCUACUAAAAAUCCAAGUGAAUAUUUCUGCCAUUGAUUUUCUGACAAUGGGAAAUGAUCAGGGAUGCUGUAUGCCAAGCAUCCAUAGUCUUUCUGUGUAUGAUGUGCAACCUCUUCAUUUAAAUUUGGCCUUCAGUAUAGUGUGGCAAAUCAUACCUGAAAUC